This 232-nucleotide ribosomal RNA is filed under the name uncultured bacterium. RNAcentral's name for it is "partial 16S ribosomal RNA". It matches the Rfam family "Bacterial small subunit ribosomal RNA", at positions 118 to 347 of the family's 1533-position model. The record is from RNAcentral.
UGAGCAAUCUGCCCUUCUCAUCGGAAUAAGCGUUGGAAACGACGUCUAAUGCCGAAUACGACCUCCUUUCACAUGAUCGGAGGUGGAAAGCUCCGGCGGAGAAGGAUGAGCUCGCGGCCUAUCAGCUAGUUGGUGUGGGUAACGGCUCACCAAGGCGACGACGGGUAGCCGGCCUGAGAGGGUGACCGGCCACACUGGGACUGAGACACGGCCCAGACUCCUACGGGAGCAG